AACGCAUAUUGCGCUCGAGGCUUCGGCCGAGAGCAUGUCUGCCUCAGCGUCGGCAUACCCCCUCACUCCCACUAAACAUGGAAGUGGAGCUGGCAGUCUUAGCAACAUUCGAUGCUAGGUCUGCUGAAGCACAGAGGCUUGAACAUGGACCCAAUAAGGGUAACAACUAGGUAGGCAUGUCAAACGACUGCAUAAUCUUAGUUGGUGCCUGGGGCCGUGUUGGAGGCCAUGCAGGAUCCAGCCUUGUGCUGGAAUACUUCAAUUUCGACCUGAGCUCAGGCAAGGUUACCCGCUGAACUUAA
This 302-nucleotide unclassified non-coding RNA is filed under the name uncultured soil eukaryote. RNAcentral describes it as "sequence contains 5.8S rRNA gene, ITS2, 28S rRNA gene". The record is from RNAcentral.